GACGAACGCUGGCGGCGUGCUUAACACAUGCAAGUCGAACGGAAAGGCCCUGCUUUUGUGGGGUGCUCGAGUGGCGAACGGGUGAGUAACACGUGAGUAACCUGCCCUUGACUUUGGGAUAACUUCAGGAAACUGGGGCUAAUACCGGAUAGGAGCUCCUGCUGCAUGGUGGGGGUUGGAAAGUUUCGGCGGUUGGGGAUGGACUCGCGGCUUAUCAGCUUGUUGGUGGGGUAGUGGCUUACCACGGCUUUGACGGGUAGCCGGCCUGAGAGGGUGACCGGCCACAGUGGGACUGAGAUACGGCCCAGACUCCUACGGGCGGCAGCAGUGGGGAAUAUUGCACAAUGAGCGGAAGCCUGAUGCAGCAACGCCGCGUGCGGGAUGACGGCCUUCGGGUUGUAAACCGCUUUCGCCUGUGACGAAGCGUGAUUGACGGUAAUGGGUAAAGAAGCACCGGCUAACUACGUG
Molecule: ribosomal RNA, 468 nt
Filed under: uncultured bacterium
Lineage: Bacteria
Description: partial 16S ribosomal RNA
Rfam family: Bacterial small subunit ribosomal RNA
Source: RNAcentral